RNAcentral lists this ribosomal RNA (468 nucleotides) under uncultured bacterium. RNAcentral describes it as "partial 16S ribosomal RNA". It matches the Rfam family "Bacterial small subunit ribosomal RNA", at positions 28 to 507 of the family's 1533-position model. The record is from RNAcentral.
GACGAACGCUGGCGGCGUGCCUAACACAUGCAAGUCGAACGGAAAGGCCCUGCUUUUGUGGGCUGCUCGAGUGGCGAACGGGUGAGUAACACGUGAGUAACCUGCCCUUGAUUUUGGGGUAACUUAAGGAAAGUGGGGGUAAUACCGGAUAGGAGCUCCCGCCGCAUGGUGGGGGUUGGAAAGUUUCGGCGGUUGGGGAUGGACUGGCGGCUUAUCAGCUUGUUGGUGGGGUAGUGGCUUACCAAGGCUUUGACGGGUAGCCGACCUGGGAGGGUGACCGGCCACAUUAGGACUGAGGUACGGCCCAGACUCGUACGUGAGGCAGCAGUGGGGAAUAUUGCACAGUGGGCGGAAGCCUGAUGCGACAACGCCGCGUGCGGGAAGACGGCCUGCGGGUUGUAAACCGCUGUCGCCUGAGACGAAGCGUGAGUGACGGUAAUGGGUAAAGAAGCACCGGCUAACUACGCG